AGGGCACCACCAGGAGUGGAGCCUGCGGCUUAAUUUGACUCAACACGGGAAAACUCACCCGGCCCGGACACUGGAAGGAUUGACAGAUUGAGAGCUCUUUCUUGAUUCAGUGGGUGGUGGUGCAUGGCCGUUCUUAGUUGGUGGAGUGAUUUGUCUGGUUAAUUCCGAUAACGAACGAGACUCUAGCCUACUAAAUAGAUCGUCGGCUUACAAACGCCGGCGAGACUUCUUAGAGGGACAGGCGGUGAUUCAACCGCACGAAACAGAGCAAUAACAGGUCUGUGAUGCCCUUAGAUGUCCGGGGCCGCACGCGCGCUACACUGAAGUGAUCAGCGUGCUUUUUCAACCUACUCUGUCAAGAGUGGGGAACCCAAUGAACCUUCUUCGUGAUUGGGAUAGGGGAUUGUAAUUGUUCCCCUUGAACGAGGAAUUCUCAGUAAGCGCGAGUCAUAAGCUCGCGUUGAUUACGUCCCUGCCCUUUGUACACACCGCCCGUCGCUACUACCGAUUGAAUGUUUU
RNAcentral lists this ribosomal RNA (519 nucleotides) under uncultured eukaryote. Its description in RNAcentral is "SSU rRNA". It matches the Rfam family "Eukaryotic small subunit ribosomal RNA", at positions 1161 to 1699 of the family's 1831-position model. The record is from RNAcentral.